RNAcentral lists this ribosomal RNA (839 nucleotides) under uncultured bacterium. Its description in RNAcentral is "bacterial SSU rRNA". It matches the Rfam family "Bacterial small subunit ribosomal RNA", at positions 53 to 886 of the family's 1533-position model. The record is from RNAcentral.
GCAUGCANGUCGAGCGAGAAGUUUAGAUUGGAUCCUUCGGGUGAAGCUCUAAACGGAAAGCGGCAAACGGCGUAGUAAUGCGUAGGUACGUACCCUCAGAUCGGGAAUAGCCAGGGGAAACCUUGGGUAAUGCCCGAUAAUGUCCGUGGACCAAAGGUGUGAUUCCGUCUGAGGAGCGGCUUACGUGAUAUUAGCUUGUUGGUGGGGUAAUGGCCUACCAAGGCUACGAUGUCUAGGGGGUGUGAGAGCAUGGCCCCCACGACCGGAACUGAGACACUGUCCGGACACCUACGGGUGGCUGCAGUCGAGAACCUUCCGCAAUGGGCGAAAGCCUGACGGAGCGACGCCGCGUGCGGGAUGAAGGCCCUUGGGUUGUAAACCGCUGUCAGAGGGGAUGAAAUCAUGGUUGGCUAUCCUUCCAUGUUGACAGAGCCUCAGAGGAAGCACGGGCUAAGUACGUGCCAGCAGCCGCGGUAACACGUACUGUGCGAACGUUAUUCGGAAUCACUGGGCUUAAAGGGUACGUAGGCGGUUUUUCAAGUCAGAUGUGAAAUGCCACAGCUCAACUGUGGCACUGCGUUUGAAACUGAUUGACUAGAGUAUUCCAGGGGUGUGCGGAACUUAUGGUGGAGCGGUGAAAUGCGUUGAUAUCAUGAGGAACACCGGANGCGAAGGCGGCACACUGGGGGAUAACUGACGCUGANGUACGAAAGCCAGGGUAGCGAACGGGAUUAGAUACCCCGGUAGUCCUGGCUGUAAACGAUGAGCACUGGGCGAGAGGCGAUUCGUCNCUUUUUGCCGUANCGAAANCAUUAAGUGCUCCGCCUGGGGAGUAUGGU